RNAcentral lists this ribosomal RNA (169 nucleotides) under uncultured marine bacterium. RNAcentral describes it as "partial 16S ribosomal RNA". It matches the Rfam family "Bacterial small subunit ribosomal RNA", at positions 338 to 524 of the family's 1533-position model. The record is from RNAcentral.
CCUACGGGAGGCAGCAGUGGGGAAUCUUAGACAAUGGGCGCAAGCCUGAUCUAGCCAUGCCGCGUGAGUGAUGAAGGCCCUAGGGUCGUAAAGCUCUUUCAACUGUGAAGAUAAUGACGGUAGCAGUAGAAGAAACCCCGGCUAACUCCGUGCCAGCAGCCGCGGUAAU